This is a long non-coding RNA of Haliotis rubra (blacklip abalone), 641 nucleotides long. RefSeq lists it as uncharacterized. The record is from RefSeq and is a predicted model, not a curated record. NCBI's taxonomy places the organism in Eukaryota, Metazoa, Mollusca, Gastropoda, Lepetellida, Haliotidae. The transcript has 2 exons.
UCGGGGCCUCUGCAAGAGGUGCUGCUGCUCCAGAGCAAAGCUGGUCAUGUUUGGGCUUAAAUUCAACCUUCGACAGUUAACUUGACACGGAGUUCUAGGAGGGGAAGUCAGUUUAACCUGAGGGUAUUACAUAGGUUAAUGUUGUUUGUGCACACGUGCAUCACUUCCUGAUUUUCAGCAAGCCGAGGUGGAGCUCCUUCACCUUCAGAAAUGUGUGGUCGGUCAAAGUGUUCCCGUAACCGCUCGCGCUUCAUGACCCGCCACAGACUAGAAGCACACAGAAACCCAUUACGGCUUUACCAGCUUCAGAAGACCUUGACUGAGACUUAGUCAAUCGAGCUCACUUGGCGCAGAGUCGGGCAAUGAUACUUAAACCGCAGGGGUCGCGUGUUCGCCAGUCAUUUGCCGAAUUGAUAAGGGCACAUGAAUUAGUUUCUGUUGCUUUAGUACUUGGAGAAGAUAUAAAAUAUAAGCUGCGGUCGUGUACUGAACUUGGCCAUUUGUAAUAAUCCUACCAGCCUAUUUUCCCACGGUGUUCCAACGCAGUCACAAUGUAGGGGAGGCAACUCUGUAUAGCGUUCUUACUUAAUCCCUUCCGUGCUGACUUCCUCGACCUUGAUAUUUGUUGACUCUAAAACUAC